GACGAACGCUGGCGGCGUGCUUAACACAUGCAAGUCAAGGGGACCCGCAAGGGUAACCGGCGAACGGGUGCGUAACACGUGAGCAACCUGCCUCAGUGUGGGGGAGUAGCCGGCCCAACCGGCCGGGUAAGUACCGCAUACGCUCACCGAGUGGCAUCACUUGGUGAAGAAACUUACCGAGGCACUGAGAGGGGCGUCGCGGCCUAUCAGCUUGUUGGUGGGGUAAUGGCCUACCAAGGCUACGACGGGUAGCUGGUCUGAGAGGAUGGCCAGCCACAUUGGGACUGAGAUACGGCCCAGACUCCUACGGGAGGCAGCAGUGGGGAAUAUUGCGCAAUGGGCGAAAGCCUGACGCAGCGACGCCGCGUGGGGAUGAAGCAUUUCGGUGUGUAAACCCCUGUUGCUCGGGACGAAAAAGCGAUUUUGUAUCGCUCUGACGGUACCGAGUGAGGAGCACCGGCUAACUCCGUGCAGCCGCCGCGGUAAU
RNAcentral lists this ribosomal RNA (487 nucleotides) under uncultured bacterium. RNAcentral describes it as "bacterial SSU rRNA". It matches the Rfam family "Bacterial small subunit ribosomal RNA", at positions 28 to 524 of the family's 1533-position model. The record is from RNAcentral.